CCCCGGCUCCUACCUGGCGGUUGCGCUCGGGCUCCGGGCACCGCAGGCUGCUGGCGCGCUACAGACGGGCGCUCAUGGGCCCUACGCGCUGGCCGGUUCUCAGCGACGUGGGACAGGAGCCGAGGGCAAGCUGGGGCCGCGACCAGACCCGGCGAUCGGCGGCGGUGGAGGCGACGAGGAAGUCGGGGAUCAAAGAAGCUAAGAGACCUGCCCAAGAUUACAGCGAUAUUAACAGAUAAAAGAGGAAACUGAGUCCAGAUAGGACUGGGAGCAGGCCAGGAGAUGUUCAGAGGAGAAAACUCGAGCCACAGAAUUCUUGGAGACUAGCAUGAAGAUGGGCCCAGGUUGAAGAGACAGAGACGUGCCUGGGAAGAGGCUGGUAGCCAGGAUACAGGAUGCACAUUCCUGCCAGGUUGCCAGUUCCAGUUGUCAUUAAGCUACCUCUGUCAUGGAUUGGACCGUCCACACUCAGGGGGACCCUCCCAGCCCCUUCUUGCCAGAUCAUCCCAGCAACCCUCGUGUGCUUACGAUGCUUACACGUCUACACACACAGGCCCCCUCUAUGGGCUGCUCCUGCCUAGAAUUCAGGGCCACUUGUCACUAGAGGAGUCUCUAAUUGCCAGGUGCCGCCAGGGUUUUGGAGCAGGCAGAGAGGAGGGAGGGGACGGGUUCCUGAGGCAGGGGGCUUGGGAGCUGGGCCGGGGGAAGAGGGAGGGGGCUGGCUCCAGUGCCCUCUCCUCCACUCUGCAGGUGUAAUUAGCCCUGGCAGAUGAAAGGGCGUCUUUGAAAGCGGUUGAGAUCCUUGUCUGUCAGCAGGGCGCUCUGGGUGGCAUCGGCAGCUUAUCCUGAAACCACACACGGCACCAGAGCCGGGCUGUCUGGGCGCUGCCCAGGAGGCAGAGAGGCAGACCCCAAGGGGAGUGUGCCCCUGACUCCCUGUUCCCCCAUAUUUCAGCCCUGGACACACUGUCUCUGUGGGCAGAUGCACCUCAGAACCAGAAGUCCUCCAGAGCUUGGCAAUGCCACUCCCAAUAGGCUGAUGCCCCAUGCCUGGGGCCUGAAGGGACAGGUUGCUCCUUCCCCUCCCCCGCAAAGCUGGACAGGAGGCCAAGGACAAUGGCCCUAGGCAGUCCUUUCAUCCUGAGAUCUCAAAGCGCCAUCUAAUUAACCCCGCCCAGGUUGGGGACUUCCUCUGGAGUCCCUUUGGAGGGGUGUGUCUGGGACCAGCAGUUCCCAGAUCUCAUCUUGGAUAGUAGCCCCAGAAAUACCAGAUAUCCUGUGUUCACCCCGUUUGGGAUCUGGGAGUCUAGGACCGGCAAAGUGUGAGUGCUAACUACAAGCUUUGAAAAGGGGAACCUCAGGGGAAUCUGAGUUUGAGACUCCAGAGUGUGUUGGGGAUAUCCGGAGCUCCUACCCCUCCAGUCACUGACAGGUUAAAGUCAAGCCCAAGGUGUACCUCACAGCCAUGCAGAAUCCAGGAUAUACUAGGUGAGCUUGUGCUGGAUUCCAGUUAUAGAAAGAUCAAAAGUGGGAAAGAAGCAAACCCUAAUCUAUAGUCUUUGAAGUCGGAAUACAGGCCCCUUCUUCUUGGGGGCUUGAGUAACGUGAGGGGCCACCACGGUGCCAUGAGGCCUUGGUAGUACCCUUUGAGUCCAGUGGUGGUUACUAACUGGGUGUGUCCAUUUUGUGAAAAUCUCUCCUGUGGUGUGUGCAUUUGGUAAGGGCAUGGGAGCCAGGUCUCCAAGCAUGCUGAACACGUGUUCUACCACACACUCUACCUCAAGUCCCUCAGUUUCACACUUACAGCUUAACUAGUUGCACAGGUAUGACACUUUUUAUAUGUCAUAGGCCCACAGACAUUUACAUCAAAGGAUUUUUACAGGUCUAGCCAAGACUGCUAUGAUUCCUUAAAGGUGCUCUUCUCCCCAUCACUUUCUGUGAGGCCAAAUGGGAGGAAAAGUGAGGGGCAGGUGUCGGGGAUCAAAUUCCAGGCACAGGGCAAGCGUGAACUUUUCCUUUUCCAUUGAGCUGCAAUGUCAGCCCAAGGACAGCUUCAAUUUCUUCUUUCUCCUCCUUCCUUUUUUUCUUCUCGUUCUCCUUCUCUUUCUUCCCCCUUUAUUUCUUUUAAUUAAAAAAAGAAAAAAAGUAUAGCUGG
This is a long non-coding RNA of Peromyscus eremicus (cactus mouse), 2155 nucleotides long. RefSeq lists it as uncharacterized. NCBI's taxonomy places the organism in Eukaryota, Metazoa, Chordata, Mammalia, Rodentia, Cricetidae. The record is from RefSeq and is a predicted model, not a curated record. The transcript has 4 exons.